Molecule: long non-coding RNA, 324 nt
Filed under: Elaeis guineensis (African oil palm)
Lineage: Eukaryota; Viridiplantae; Streptophyta; Magnoliopsida; Arecales; Arecaceae
Description: long non-coding RNA (EGUI_LNC054870)
Source: RNAcentral
CGCCGCUUAUGGCCGAGAUGCCGAUCAUCCCCGAUCCUCCGUUGGUCGAAGAGAUCGACUAGGACGGAUGAUCGGCCCUGCCGACUAUCUUUACUUUUUAUUUUUUGAAAAUACAUGUAAUCGGGCUUCGACCCGACUUUGUAAUUUCUCUUCAUCAAUGAAUGAAACUUUCUUCUUUUUCUUCCUGUUUGUAAUGCCGAUUAGUGCUGCGAUGUCGAACUUUAGUCGCUAACCUAAGCAAGUCACCAACCCACGUAAGUCGGUAGGACUUCGAUAACUUGCGCAGCCCCGAAAGUAGAAUGUGUCCCGACUUUAGGUCGGCUU